Molecule: ribosomal RNA, 454 nt
Filed under: uncultured bacterium
Lineage: Bacteria
Description: bacterial SSU rRNA
Rfam family: Bacterial small subunit ribosomal RNA
Source: RNAcentral
AGAGUUUGAUCAUGGCUCAGAGUGAACGCUGGCGGUGCGCCUAAGACAUGCAAGUCGAGUGGGUUUAGACCCACGGCGAACGGCUGCGUAACACAUGGGUACCUACCCCGAACUCAGGAAUAACCUCCCGAAAGGGAGGCUAAUGCCGGAUAGUCCCGCAAGGGUAAAGCUUUUGCGGUUCGGGAGGGGCCAGUGGCCUAUCAGUUAGUUGGUGAGGUAACGGCUCACCAAGACAAUGACGGGUAGCUGGUCUGAGAGGACGACCAGCCAGAAUGGAACUGAGACACGGUCCAUACUCCUACGGGAGGCAGCAGUUAGGAAUCUUCCACAAUGGGCGAAAGCCUGAUGGAGCGACACCGCGUGAAGGAUGAAGCCUUUAACUAGGUGUAAACUUCUGUUAUGAGGGACGAAAUUUUUGACGGUACCUCAUGAGAAAGCACCGGCUAAUUCUGUG